RNAcentral lists this long non-coding RNA (1445 nucleotides) under Medicago truncatula (barrel medic). RNAcentral's name for it is "long non-coding RNA (MTRU_LNC008692)". The record is from RNAcentral. Lineage: Eukaryota; Viridiplantae; Streptophyta; Magnoliopsida; Fabales; Fabaceae.
GAAUUUAAAAAUAAAAUAAAAUUAGUUAAGGAGUUACUUGUCAAAUUCAGGGUGCAUGCCAUUAUCCCAUCCUUUUGGAUGAACAACAUUGGUCAUAGUUGAGUAAGCAUAGAUAAUUUUAGGAUAAGUCAUCCAUGCUCUAGCUAAGAAAGUAGUAGUUCCAGUUCCAGUAAUAUCACAAUGCACAAAUGAGUAUAAAUCAGCAUCUGAUGCACUUUUUCUUGCUUGUGCUACUAUCACUGUUGGCCCAGCGUCACCAAGCGCUCUCAAUUCGUUUUUCUGCAUCAUCCGAUCGAGCAACAUCUUAUAUACUUAUGUUUGUUUUAUAUAUCUUAGUUAAAAAAUAUGAUCAAAGAGUAUGUGAUGUGAAUAGUACUGCACAUGGUCGAGACUAUAUUUACUUACCAAAUAUAGUGAUGUUCCACUUCCAAAAAUGAAAUCGACCGUGCCUUGAAUUAAGCAAUCUUUGAAAAAAUGAUUAUGCCGAUCAUCACAAAUUGUAUCUUGGAACCCUAAAAUCUUGCAAUUAUAAAAUGCUGCUCUGUCACCAGAAAUUCUUAAUGCAACUGCUUGUUCUCCUGCCUUUCUUCCAUCAGGUCUUGGUGCAGAAUUCUGUACCAAAUUCAUUACCAAAAAACAAUCAUAAGGAAAACUCCAUAAACAAAUAAUAAAUAAAUCGAUGACAUUUUUUUAUUGAUUUGAAUUAGAAAACACAAAUUUUGUCAUUAAAAAUCUAAAAUAUUUUUCUCUAAAAAAAAAAAAUCUAACAUAUCAAUCAAAUCAAUCCCUUUUAUGUAAAUAUUGAAGGUCCUUUUUUUUUUUUUAUCAGGGACUAAUUUUACCAAAAUUUCAAUUUUGGAAACUAAAUUGAUAUUUUAAAUCUUAUACAAGACAUUUAAAUAAUGAUCAUUAGUGUUGUUACUAAUCCUUCUCCUUCCCCAACAUUAUAUAUAAGCAAUAAUUUUCUCAAUUUUUUUUUUAACAACAAAUUUGACCAGAUCACUGCUCAAGACGAAUAGAGACGGGUGAAACUGAGAAUACAGACAAAAAGCGUCAUACAAAGGAGAUAGUAAACAAACCGAAAGCAUGAUGUUAGCAGCUACAAAAUAAUCUGAUUCAACAAUCAAUGUAGCACUAUCAACUGUGCCAUAUUUUGCUGCAGUGCCACCAAAGGUUAUAUUUGGCAUAGUUCCUGGUGCUGCAUACAAUGUAACAAAAGGUUUUGUCCUCUCAAUUUUAAUUUUCUCAUUAUAAUUUCCACCACCAAUUUUCACAAUCACACGUUUGUUGUUUCCAGUUGGUAUACUAUUAAUGGCAUCAGUGAUGGUUUUGAAAUCACCCUUGCCAUCUUGCAUUACUGUAAUAACCUUAGGAGCAGCCUCUGCAGCUACCAAGGAAGGAUCAAGGGUUGCUUUUCUUUGUGCUAAUGGUCCCACAUUGGUAUU